UCUCGCUGCCCUCACGGAGCUCUGUCUCAGCCCCUUGUUAGUGGCCGCAUUACGUCCCCAAGAUCCAUACGCUGAGUCCUGCUCUCAGGGCAGCAGAGGGUGACUGUGCUUGGAGAUGGGUCUUUAUGGAGGUGAUUAAGGCUGUGUGGACCCACCCUCUGAGCAGCUGAGGCCUGGACCUGAGGCCCACGUCUUGGCACAGGCAGUGGGGAGAGAGGCCGCCGAUGCCGGACAGAUCGGACACGCGGGGACACG
Molecule: long non-coding RNA, 255 nt
Organism: Leopardus geoffroyi (Geoffroy's cat)
Lineage: Eukaryota; Metazoa; Chordata; Mammalia; Carnivora; Felidae
Exons: 2
Source: RefSeq, a predicted model, not a curated record